ACGUAGGGGACAAGCGUUAUCCGGAUUUACUGGGCGUAAAGCGCCCGUAGGCGGCCUGACAAGUUGGACGUGAAAGCUCCUGGCUUAACUGGGAGAGGCCGUUCAAAACUGUCAAGCUAGAGUCUGGAAGAGGAGAGCGGAAUUCCCGGUGUAGUGGUGGAAUGCGUAGAGAUCGGGAGGAACACCAGUGGCGAAAGCGGCUCUCUGGUCCAAAACUGACGCUGAGGGGCGAAAGCGUGGGGAGCGAACAGG
Molecule: ribosomal RNA, 252 nt
Filed under: uncultured bacterium
Lineage: Bacteria
Description: partial 16S ribosomal RNA
Rfam family: Bacterial small subunit ribosomal RNA
Source: RNAcentral